Carya illinoinensis is the source of this 2148-nucleotide long non-coding RNA. RefSeq lists it as uncharacterized. The transcript is spliced from 5 exons. NCBI's taxonomy places the organism in Eukaryota, Viridiplantae, Streptophyta, Magnoliopsida, Fagales, Juglandaceae. The record is from RefSeq and is a predicted model, not a curated record.
AGUUUUAACAGAGGAACCUGAUCCUUGAGCCAAUGGCUUUUCUAUUAGAUGUUUUGAAGCCAAAUCUUCCUGAACAUAGUUUCCUUCAAACAAAGGUCCUGGAAAUCAAUCUGGUAACUUUUCCAAAUGUAGCUGACGCUAUAUUACCUAAUGGAAUGUUCAGCCAUUAUGACCGUCCUCGAAUUGCCCAACUUUGUGAAAAGGCUGGUCUUUACGUGUGAGCUCUGCAACUGCAACAUUACACAGAAUUGCCAGAUAUAAAGCGUGUCAUUGUGAACACACGCAAUUGAGCCACAGUCACUUGUGGAAUUUUUUGGCACUCUGUCACGUGAAUGGGCUUUGGAGUGUUUGAAGGACCUUUUGUUGGUCAAUCUAAGUGGAAAUCUUCAGAUAAUUGUGCAGGUUGCUAAGGAAUAUUGUGAACAGUUGGGUUUGCUAGAGAUAUGGGAAUAUAAAUUAAUGAAUAUAAUCAUUGGUUGAUAGGUUUGGGUCACCUUUUGCAAAGUCAGCAUACAUUGAUUAGUGUACAUCAUAUCAAACUAACUGCUCAAACAAACACCUAGUUUUAGUAAUUGUGCAUGACUCCUCUCCUACUAUCUUCCUCCUUUCAUCCACUCUUCCUCCUCAUCCUCUCCUCCUCCCUUCCACCUCUCUUCCUCCCUCCACUCUCUCUUUCUUCCUCCUAUUUUCUUCUCCUACACUCUUACUAAUCUCUUCAUCAACUCCUCUCCUCCUUUCUUCCACCUUUCUUCUUCCCUCCAUUCUUCCUCUCCUCUAAUCUUCCUCCUCUCUUGGUCUCUUCCUACUCCACGUUUCUGACUCCAAGAUAUACUAUUUGUAUGUUAUAUUUUUAAAUAUUAUAUUAUUCUUGGUUGGAUGUGAUUCAACUUUUAGUAUUUCUUUCUCAAUUCUUUUGGGUUUUGAAUUUUAAUUUCCAAAUCUUGAGAUUUGUUGAGGGAUGCCUUUGGGUUUAGGCAUGUAUAACCUUGAUUAGAUAGACUUAGUGGCUAGUCUUAAGCUUUGAUCCAUAGAAGGUAGGCACUCUCUGGGUCUAUAGAAGGCAUUUUGUUCUCAUCAUUUUAUUUGUAUAAAAUACUAUUUAUAGGUCAUAGCCAUUCAUUCAGGAAUAUCUUUCAUAUUGAUGCAAAGAUGAAGGGAUGAACCGAUGAAGCAAGGGUGAUUUAGGUACUUAUUAUAUUUUCAUUUUCUAUUCGAAAUUAUAAUCCUCAUUUAGACAACAAAGGUAAUUAAAUUGAUGGCAGAUUAUAGGAUUCAUUUUGUUCUAUCAAUUUUAUAUCUGACGACAUAUAUUCUAUGAUGAUGAAGGGUAGUUACACAAUUUACACUUAAGGCUUUCAACAACUAUAGGAUGACAAGCUCACUGUGGUAUCCUCCCAAAGUAAUCAACAUGUAUAUUAUGUUAGAAGCUUUAUGUCUCUUAUCUGCAUGUUGUCAUGAACUUUUCAUUUAUUUUACAUUAUAUUGUCUUGAUAAUGUGGAAGUUCGAACGUGACAUCUUUCAUUAACUCUAGGUUUUUAUAUUUCCUUGUAGAUUAAUCAACUCUUCUAUUAAUUGCAAUAUUUGUAGUUUUUUUGGAUUGUCAAAUAGUGUAGGUUUUCCAUACUGGUUGAUACGAUUUUUAGCAAUGCAGCAACAAAAUUUUUAAGGAUUGAAGACGGAAGAUACUUGCUAUAAUCAUGUAUUUUAUAAAUUUUUAUUGAUUUUUUGUUCUUUGAGACAUUUUUUUUGCAAUGCAUAUUUUGAGAAAAAGUUUUUAACUGUAAAUUACUGCUAAAAGUAAUAUUAUGAUAUUCCUUUAGCAUAAGAUUUCCUAUAUUUUUUUUAUUACUAGUUUUUUCCCUCCUCUCCUCCUACUUCAUUCCUUAUCUACCCUCCUCUUCUCGUCCUUUCAUCCACUCUUUCUACUCUCCUCCUCUCUUUCAAUCUUCCUAUUAUCCUCAUCUUUCUGCUCCUUCUCCUCCACUCUUUCUAUUCUCUUUCUUUCCUCAUCUCCUUCUCUCCUCCUCUAUUCCAGCUCUCUUCCUCCCUUCAUUCUUCCUUGUCACUUCAUCCUCUUCACUCUUCUUCCUCUCCACUCUUCUUCCUCUCAUUCUUUCCUUCCCAUCCUCUCCUCUCUCUUUCAUCUU